This 81-nucleotide small nucleolar RNA is filed under the name Anabas testudineus (climbing perch). RNAcentral describes it as "Small nucleolar RNA SNORD24 (ENSATEG00000006704.2)". It matches the Rfam family "Small nucleolar RNA SNORD24". Rfam says of the family: U24 is a member of the C/D class of snoRNA which contain the C (UGAUGA) and D (CUGA) box motifs. The record is from Rfam by way of RNAcentral. Lineage: Eukaryota; Metazoa; Chordata; Actinopteri; Anabantiformes; Anabantidae.
UGCUGCAGUGAUGACAUUUAUUUGCUACUCUUGACAAGAUGGAUGACGAUUCUUUCAACCACCAAGUUGAUAUCUGAGGCA